GCUGAUUUGGCUCAGUGGAUAGAGCAUCAGCUUGUCGAAUGAAGGAUCAUGGGUUCGAUUCCCAUCAAGGGCA
Molecule: transfer RNA, 73 nt
Filed under: Myotis davidii
Lineage: Eukaryota; Metazoa; Chordata; Mammalia; Chiroptera; Vespertilionidae
Rfam family: tRNA
About the family: Transfer RNA (tRNA) molecules are approximately 80 nucleotides in length. Their secondary structure includes four short double-helical elements and three loops (D, anti-codon, and T loops).
Source: Rfam by way of RNAcentral